GAGUCGAGUUAUUUGGGACUAUAGCUCUAAUAGUUUGGUUGGUGGUAAUGACACAUCAAAGGCUAAAUAUUGGUUAGUAGCGAUGCAUAUUGCGGAGACCGAUAGCAUACAAGUACCGUAAGGGAACGAUGAAAAGCACCCUAUUGAGUUCACGGCGCAGACUCGCCACCUCGUGUGGCUUGUCCCGCGCCCAACAACUACAGUGGGAGUGAAAGAGAGAGUGAAAUCGCCUAUACAUAAAAAUAUAAUAUACUACACACUUACAGUGUAUUUAUUUACAUUGUCUGCGUUAGUACAAUCGGACAGAGUGUCGUAUAUACACAUAUGCGCCGCCUAUUAUAUAUAUUUUAUAUGUAUAAUAUGGUUUGGCUCAUAGCCACCCGCUCGCGGGCAGCUAUACGCGACACAACUGUACGACCCGUUUUGAAACACGGACCAAGGAGUUCAACUGGAUUAUGAGUCGUAGAGCGUAUAUUAACACCAUACACUCACACGGGCGCAGCGAAAGCAACGUUAUCCUUUUAAUGUGCUAGGUCGGCCGUAAAAAGUUGACCGCAGCACGCGCUGAGUGAGCAUAUACGCGAGGGCCUCGUGUCAGCGCGUAUACCUGUAUGCAUUUGUGCUUGCACGGACGCAAUACUAGGAUCACUCAAGCGUUCAACGAGUAUAUCUUGUUGAGACCCGAAAGAUGGUGAACUAUGCUCGGAUAUGGCGAAGUCAGGUGAAAACUUGAUGGAAGCUUGCGUUGUGCGGAACUGACGUGCAAAUCGUUACCGCCUAACCUGAGUAUAGGGGCGAAAGACUCAUCGAACCAUCUAGUAGCUGGUUCCCUCCGAAGUUUCCCUCAGGAUAGC
This 854-nucleotide ribosomal RNA is filed under the name Ammonia sp. 1403. Its description in RNAcentral is "eukaryotic LSU rRNA". It matches the Rfam family "Eukaryotic large subunit ribosomal RNA", at positions 262 to 982 of the family's 3401-position model. The record is from RNAcentral. Lineage: Eukaryota; Foraminifera; Rotaliida; Rotaliidae.